CCGUGACACCAGGUCAAUGAUCAUAUUUAAGUGGCUGUUUAGCGAUGGUUUGUGAAUGGUACAUUUGUUAUAGUGAUGUUGUUGGUACUUUUUUCUUUACAGGUUAAUAUCAGUAUAAUGUCACUACAGAAUGGCUGCACAAAACCACAACAAGGGAAAACGAUCCCGUUAUUCACGAAUCCACUUGUAAAUGCAAGUGAAACCCUCAUUAUGGCUGAAAUUUUUUUUAAAGACUUUAAUAAAGUCAUGGAGGAAGGACCCUAUGUACUUCUGUACCCAGAUGGCACAGAGGUCAUUAACGUUCCUAUGACCCCAAGGCCCUUUACACUGAAGGACUAUAAAAUAGAAAUUGGAAAACCUUAUGCAAGGAUAAAUUUGUUUCUUUGCAGAAGGAAGGACUUUGGAGGAGAACAGGAAGUCAGUUCAGAAUCAGACACAGAAGUUAUCAUAAGGACACCAAAUCCUGAGUGAUCUAAGCUGGCUGACACACUGCCUUUGCAUACAGUACAAGCACAUCUGAAAAAUGUAAGGAUAAUAAAAUUGAUUGUGCUCCAUGAAGUGAAGUGCAGUUUUAAGACAAUACUCUCAGAUACAGAGGAUGACCAACCAGGUACUUCAGCUCAUGUUACAGCAGAAAACCACUGUUAGAGAGAAUACAUGGACAUUUAUGCACUUGUGAUUACUGAAGAGGACGAUGAGUUUGAAACUACAGCACACUGUCUUGACGUCCCAGAACCAAUAGAGUAAGCUGCAAAACACUUCAGAACCAUCAAAGUGUUUUGGCUCCUUUCCUUUCCCACACUGAGAAGAAGCUGACAGCAACUGAUUUGGAAAACCUCUUCAAAGCAGAACUCAGCCCAGAAGGUUGCAACCAGGGGCCAAAAGAAUCCAAGACACUUUGCUUUUUGUCAGACUAUCUCCUCGACUGUGAAGAACAUCAGACUGAAGUGUCAUUGAAGAACGUACUUAUGUUUGCUACCGGCCUGUCUUCACUUCCUCCUGCUGGAAUUAUACCACGUCCUUGCAUUGUGUUUCUGGCCAGUUCACCCUUCCCAAUGGCAAAUACAUGUGCAAACACCCUCAAGUUACCACACUUGGACACCUACUGUCUUUUUCAGGCUCAAAUGGAUUUUGGAAUCCAGAACUCUCCAGGUUUUGGAUGUAUUUAAAUAGCCAUAUGUGAAAAUGUUGAAUUUUAAUGGCAUCAAUUUCACAUCCUGAGUUAUCAUGCGAUAAAAAUCUAAAAAAAAAAAAAAAAAAAAGUCAGAUUUUAAAACAAUAGUUUUUUCCCCCCAAUUUUGCUGCAGUUUGCUUUAGUUAAUUAUUAUCAGUUUUUUUUACUCAAUUUAUAUUCAUACUUUAGUUUUAUCCUCAUUUCCAAGACUGUUUUUGAAUUAUGAAGAGACUUAUGCAGGCCAUGGGCAACUUUAAAGUCUCUCUUGCUCUUCUGAUUCUAACCUGACAGCUCCUUUGUAGACAGUCCAUUAGUUUUAAUAACGUGUUGAGAAUUUGUAGGUCUUUGUUUUUAAUUAUGAUACACAUUUGUCAUGUUUUUUAUUACCACAAUAUUCAUGAUGUGAAAUUGACACAUACAGUGUUUUUCUUAGUUGUUCUUAGGUUGUACUCUGGUUCCUAUAUGUUAUUUAUUUAU
Tachysurus fulvidraco (yellow catfish) is the source of this 1651-nucleotide RNA transcript. It is a transcript of the gene named G2/M phase-specific E3 ubiquitin-protein ligase, with no coding region annotated. The record is from RefSeq and is a predicted model, not a curated record. Lineage: Eukaryota; Metazoa; Chordata; Actinopteri; Siluriformes; Bagridae. The transcript has 8 exons.